Molecule: ribosomal RNA, 253 nt
Filed under: uncultured bacterium
Lineage: Bacteria
Description: partial 16S ribosomal RNA
Rfam family: Bacterial small subunit ribosomal RNA
Source: RNAcentral
UACGGAGGAUCCAAGCGUUAUCCGGAAUCAUUGGGUUUAAAGGGUCCGUAGGCGGUUUGGUAAGUCAGUGGUGAAAGCCCAUCGCUCAACGGUGGAACGGCCAUUGAUACUGCCAGACUUGAAUUAUUAGGAAGUAACUAGAAUAUGUAGUGUAGCGGUGAAAUGCUUAGGGAUUACAUGGAAUACCAAUUGCGAAGGCAGGUUACUACUAAUGGAUUGACGCUGAUGGACGAAAGCGUGGGUAGCGAACAGG